GCAGUGGUGGUCCAGUGGUAGAAUUCUCGCCAUUCCAUGCAGGACACCUGGGUUUGACUCCCAGCCAAUGCA
RNAcentral lists this transfer RNA (72 nucleotides) under Loxodonta africana (African savanna elephant). It matches the Rfam family "tRNA". Rfam says of the family: Transfer RNA (tRNA) molecules are approximately 80 nucleotides in length. Their secondary structure includes four short double-helical elements and three loops (D, anti-codon, and T loops). Further hydrogen bonds mediate the characteristic L-shaped molecular structure. tRNAs have two regions of fundamental functional importance: the anti-codon, which is responsible for specific mRNA codon recognition, and the 3' end, to which the tRNAs corresponding amino acid is attached (by aminoacyl-tRNA synthetases). tRNAs cope with the degeneracy of the genetic code in two manners: having more than one tRNA (with a specific anti-codon) for a particular amino acid; and 'wobble' base-pairing, i.e. permitting non-standard base-pairing at the 3rd anti-codon position. The record is from Rfam by way of RNAcentral. Lineage: Eukaryota; Metazoa; Chordata; Mammalia; Proboscidea; Elephantidae.